CAGACUGUGUGUUGCACUUUGAGGCUACACUUGCCUGGAAGCAAGCCCCAUUGAAAUCCGUGAGCCUUACUUCCGAGUAAAGAUGGUUAGAACGGGGCUGAAGAGGACGACUAGAGAAAGACAGGCAAAGUGAAGCCAUCGCAGUGAGUCCAACCUUCCGGGGCUGCUGCCCGGCCCCACACGCCCGAGUCGCACGGAUUGCUGCUGGAGGAGCAACCGGCCGCCCCUCCCCCCGCUUCCUCUCCCUGCGAGCAUGGAAGGGGCGGAGCUCCCGAGCCAGACAAUGCCCGCUGAGCAGCCACGGUUCCCCCCACGUGGUUGAACGCUGGCGAGAAACCUUGAGCCUCGCUUCCUGUGCGCCGGACCCAAGUGAGAACUGCCUCCCCUCUCUCCGGCUGGCCUGAAGGCUUCGGCGCAAUCAAAGCCUCGAGUCGACGCCGUUCCUCCGAAGACCUUAGGCGACCGGCUCACAGUGGGAGGCUGAACAAGAAUCCUUAACAUCAAGGACGCAUCUGAGUGAAAUUCCCCAAGGAAGAGUCUUUCCUUACUCUAUUGCAAAAGAAAAUUACAAGCAAUAAUACAGAUCAGAGGAGGGGGGAAAAAUCUGAAAACUGCUGGAAAGUUAAUGGGCUAGAACAUCAGCCAAAUGAAAGGGAAUGGAACACUUCCAGAAGGAACCAAAGGAGUACCACAAGUCUUAAAUGUACAUUUCCUAGUCCUACAAACCCUGUUUUCUAAGUCGAAUAGCGUUGGGAUUUCUGCUUAGAUCAAAACACAACCAAGAGUCCUGUGGCAGCUUAGAGGCUAACAACUAUAAUUGUGGUAUAAGUUUUUGUAACCCGCUUGUUCAGAUGCCAACUGUCCCUUUCAUAUUAGCAAAUACGUGAUCUGCAGCCUGGUAAUUGUAUCUGGUUCUCAGGUUUUACCCCCAACAAAGAGUUAUUUUUGCUUACAAUGGGCUGUCUUCCCUUUACUGCACCUUUUGUGGGCUUUCACUACAAUUUUUGCUUUGAGGAUUUUGCAUUUCGCAUCAUGGAGUUUUUUUGCAAAAGCCUUUUGGCAGCAUUGAAAUAGUUUUUUGGUAACUCUUCUGCAGCCAGAUGCUUUUUUUUGGUUGUAAUUGCAGAAGAAGCUGGGCAGUUGAUCCAAGAUAUAAGUAAGGACAGAUUCUUCUGGAGAGGAGAGUUUCAUGGAAGCUCAGCCACAGCCGAGAAUCCCCGGAAUAAGGAAGCAGUAUCCUUGCCCUGAUUGUGGGAGGAAUUUCAAGCGGAACUCACACCUCGUUCGACAUAAGAGGCUCCACACAGGAGAGAAACCCUACAAAUGUCCUGAUUGUGGGAAAAGCUUCAGGCAAAGCACUGAUGUUAAUACACAUCGGAGAAUCCAUACAGGAGAAACACCCUAUCGGUGUAACCAAUGUGGGAAAAGCUUUCGGUACAGAUCAGGUCUCCUGAAACAUUUGAGAUGCCAUGAAGGAGAGACAACUUAUAAUUGCUUGGAAUGUGGGAAAAGCUUCAGCCAGAGUUUGGUUUCAACCCUUCAAGGAUGUCAGGAGGGGAUGAACCCCUACAAAUGCCCUGAAUGUGAAGAAAAUGUUCAAAUGAACUCAAAUCUCAUUGUACAUCUAACAGCCACUGCAGCAGGAGAACCCUAUAUAUGUCCCGACUGUGGAAAGAGCUUUGGCUGCAGUUUCCAACUGAUUAGACAUAGGAGUCUCCAUACCCGAUUUCUGAUCCCUAAUCCUGAUACUCUCUGCAGCCUGGACCAAGGUAUUGAACCUUUACUAUCAGAUUGUCAAGAUACAGAGGAACGAGAGAAUUCAGGAAGUAUCUGUGAAGCGGGUGAUGACACUGUGACAAAGAAGCAUGAAGAGGAGAAUCCCCAGCAAGAGUGCUUUUCUUUUACAAAAUCUCACAUGACAUUAUUGGAAAGACUCCAAGGACUUGCUCCCCAAAGACCCCCAAAGGCUGAUAUGGAGAGGCCAAAGCUUAAAAGGUGGCAAUGGAAACGGUCAGGGAAAACUAGAGAUGAAUCUACAAAGAAUGGGACCCCUGGCUCCCCGGAAUGUGAGAGUCUUCUCUGUUCAGACAGAAAGCACCUGUGUUUUGUAUGUGGGAAAAGGUUUCGUUAUGAAUCCCACCUCGUUGCACAUGAACGGAUCCACACAGGAGAGAAACCCUUUCAGUGCAGCACCUGUAAGAAAAAUUUCCGUGACAGAUCAGACCUCGGUAAACACCAGAAAAUCCAUGCUGGAGAGAAACCCUACAAAUGUCUUGAGUGUGGCAAAAGCUUCCACCAUCAGUUGACUUUUAUUCGACAUCAGAGGAUUCACCCCCGAGAGGCUGCCUCUGAACAGAGCUGUGUGUAUUUUGCAAUCCUGCCUUCAUAUCAUACGGGUGUAGAAAUUAGCAUGGGGGCCGAAACAGAAUCUCCAGAGGCUCUCAACUUUCAUUUUAAACAAAAAGAGCCCAGUUCUCUAUGGACUCUGGAAGUGACAGAAGGGACACAAGUAUAUUUGGCUCCCACAUAGAAGCUAUGUCUACAGGGAACAAAAUGCAGGGCGAGGAAGAGAGAACAGCUUUUCCAUUUGCAUACUUAACUGUGAUGAAGUAGUGGGUAUACAGGAGGUGGAGAUCUUUCAGAAGGGAUUCCUUGAGUAUUUGGAAUCAACUUGAAUGCUGUUGAACAGAUGCCAAGAAAUCAUGUUCCAAGAUCCACACCUGGGAGAAAAUGCAGGGCAGUGGUAGAAGAUCUUGCAGGAGAGGGGUUGUAAAUUCUUGGCACCUGCCAAAAGUUUGAUCAGAAUUGUGUGCCAGCUUAGAAUCCAUAUGGUUAAGAAACAAGAGGUGCUCUGCAUUGUUAGAAAAGUUGCAAACGAUACUGACAUAUCAAACACUUCACAUUCCUGAGGCUUAUCAGCCAAAGCACUGAUUCUUGGAAAAUCUUUACAUUCAAAUGCUCAGCUGUAAAGAACACAAUGGGAGACCCAUACAAAUUCACUGCCCCUCUGAAAGUAUUCCAUGAAAGAGUUCUCAUGGGUGUGAGAGAUUGCCUCUCCCUCCAAAUCCUAAAUUUACUGAAGUCUUUCUCUCUUGCUCACUUUUUUUUGACAGACAUAGACCUUUUUCUCACAAUCUCGUGAGUGGGUUUGAGGGCCCCAGCCCCCCAGAAAUCCCAUAAUGCACUGCACAAUCCCCCAGCAACAGCUAGGAGCCUGCUCAUGUGUCAGCGCUAGCUGGGAGCAGCCGCUGCUGACACAUGAACAGUUUGCCCGGGUGAAGGGCACACUCGCUCCCCUAACCUCGGCUUGCGGGCUCCUUAGGCAGGUCUGCUGCCAAGAGCUACACAGCUCCUGGUGGUUCUCACAGGCAGCCAAUCCCAGGUUUAGCUGCUUGCCUCAUACAUUGAUGAAGAAAUCAGGCUGGUAUUCCAUAACUAAGGCAGAUAAUAUAUUCUGUGUAAAAGAUGGGAAAUGCACCUUGGGGGUGUGGCUUUAAUCUGGUCUGACUUCUGCACUGUGUGUCUGUGUAGAGUCUGAUUGUAUUGUUGUUCAAUGGACAAAUGAAAGCUGUUGCAGGUUAGUUCUGAAAUGUAUAACACUGUAGCCCUAUUCACACAUUAUUUUCACACAAAUGCUUGUACAUGUGUACAGACAUCUAUACAAACAACAUGAUGUCUGAAUAGGGUUUAUAUAUUGCCAUAAACCGCCCAUCCAGGCACAGUCCAUGCCCUUUGUUGCUCUCUUUAGCAUCAUGCAAUGGUAAAGGGAGUAAGUUGUCAGUGGUAUAAAAAUAGCAAGUCAGGUCAUUGACUUGCAGUUAGAACUAAUAGACCUUCACCCUAUCCAAGAAUUCUGCAGAUGCAUUUGCCUGUUCUAGGGAGACCCUCCUAAUUAUUCCUAGUGUGGGAUUACUUUCUUCCUGUGUGCAAACUUUAUUUUAUGUCAAAGAAGACACAUUAGACAGAACCUGUAGGAUAGAUUAUUCCACCCUGUGUAAAGGUUUCACAUAUGCUGGGAGAAAGCAUAUGGGUGCUCUUAAGUGUAGGAAAAUGUUUCCUUAGCAAAUCAUACCACUAUCAUAAUGUCCAUAGGAGAGAUAAAUCACAGCAAGGCAGUGUUUGCAUAUACCUAAUCACCAUUUAAAGCAGGGCUGCUCAACUCAUCCCCACCCCCUGCUGUUUUUGGACUACAGCUCCCAGCAUCCCCAGCCACAGUGGCCAGUAGUCAGGCAUGAUGGGGGUUGUAGGCCAACAUCUGCAGCAGGGCCAAAGUUGAGCAGCCCUGAUUUAAAGCAUGCACAAAAUGUACCUACCUAGUCUCUUGAGCAGAAAUAUAUUAUAAGCCCAUUCACACAUUGUUCAACACUCAUACAAUGAGUGUACAGUGUAAGCAGGUACAGAUCUGUACACAGGUACAGUCAUUCACAUGUUAUGUUGAACGCAGAUACAGAAGUACAUUUCCGAUCUGGAUGCAUUUGAAGGCCCUGUAUCCAGCUUCACUUUUAAAAUGAACCCAGGUACAGUCAUUCACACAAACUCAUGUACGAGUGUACAGACAUCUGUAUACUCGUACAGCAUAAUGUCUGAAAUCGGGCUUAUAUGGAGGGUAACCCUCAAACAUUACUUGAACUUGAAUUUGCUUGGAAAUGUUUACAUUUGCCCAAAUUGAUUAAAAAAGACACACACACACACACACUUGCAGUCAGGAUACAAUUGGACUGAGGAGCUGGGAGGGAGAAGAGUGUAAGUCAUGGAUUUUGUCAAGCUAAUACUUGAUGAUACUGCCUUUAUGAGAGUAACCAAGCAGACAUGGGGCUAUGAGAGUUCUUGGCUGUAUAAACAUCCCUGUGCUAGGAGAUGCAGCAGAUCCCCAGCCAUCCUCAAACAUGCCUGGGGUUGAGAGAGUGCACAGCUCAGCUGCCAUCCAGUGGCUCUCAAUGUGGCUUCUAGCCAGGGGAUGGAGUGCCAGGUGUGUGUGGCUUCUAGGCUGUUGCUGUGCUCUCUGCAACCUGCAUGUCAGGAAGGGCUGUAGCUCAGUGGUAGAGCAGACCCGUUGGGUGCCAAAUGUCCCUAGCAUCUUCAGGUAGGACUGGAAAGAGCCCUCUCUGAGACCCUGAAGAGCCACUGUCAGUCAGAGUAGAUGGUACUGAGCCAGAGGAACCAAUCAGGAGUCUGGCAGCACCUUUGUACGUCCGCAUGCUUUGAGUCUGGAGCAUCACUGCAAGACCCCGCAACACUGUUGGGUGUGGCUCAGGCCCUUAUCGCUUCGAAAAGUGUCUCUGGAAAACAUUUUAGAAAAUAAAAUUCUGCUCACCCUGGC
This is an RNA transcript of Hemicordylus capensis (graceful crag lizard), 5320 nucleotides long. It is a transcript of the gene named zinc finger and SCAN domain-containing protein 2-like, with no coding region annotated. Lineage: Eukaryota; Metazoa; Chordata; Lepidosauria; Squamata; Cordylidae. The transcript is spliced from 7 exons. The record is from RefSeq and is a predicted model, not a curated record.